RNAcentral lists this ribosomal RNA (253 nucleotides) under uncultured bacterium. RNAcentral's name for it is "partial 16S ribosomal RNA". It matches the Rfam family "Bacterial small subunit ribosomal RNA", at positions 524 to 776 of the family's 1533-position model. The record is from RNAcentral.
UACGUAGGUGACCAGCGUUGUCCGGAUUUAUUGGGCGUAAAGAGCUCGUAGGCGGUCUGUUGCGUCCGCUGUGAAAACUCGGGGCUUAACCCCGAGCCUGCAGUGGAUACGGGCAGACUAGAGGUAGGUAGGGGAGAAUGGAAUUCCCGGUGUAGCGGUGAGAUGCGCAGAUAUCGGGAGGAACACCGGUGGCGAAGGCGGUUCUCUGGGCCUUACCUGACGCUGAUGCGCGAAAGCGUGGGGAGCAAACAGG